This is a long non-coding RNA of Fukomys damarensis (Damara mole-rat), 1794 nucleotides long. RefSeq lists it as uncharacterized. The record is from RefSeq and is a predicted model, not a curated record. The transcript is spliced from 3 exons. Lineage: Eukaryota; Metazoa; Chordata; Mammalia; Rodentia; Bathyergidae.
AUAUUUUUUCUUUUCCCUUAUUUCCUUUCUAGAUUAGAAAUCUUUUAGGCAUUGUGUGUGUAGUUCGAUGGUAGAUUGCUCGGCAUGCAUUCCUCUAUGUUUAGAGUGUUACUGAAAAAAAUCAACAUUUUAGGAAAUUUACAUUAAUUGCUUGUUAUUUUUUGAGUGCAUUUGCAUGACGUCUUUGUAAGAAUGACCUGUUGAUGGGGAAGAUGUGACAGUUUCCUUUGCAGUGCUGUCUUAUUUCCAUAGGCUGAAAUUACAAACAGUGUAAGUUGCUUCCACUGAGCGUCAAGUAGUUAAUACCAAGUGACUAUAUAAAGUCAGCUCCCAGGAAAGAGAAUGAAAAAAUGAGAACGUGUAUUGUGGGGAAAUUAUGGAUGAACAGAAGCCACACAAAACCACUAAACAGAAAGAUGUGACUGAGUGUGACAACAAUGGAAACUGAUGGAGUACAGAGCAAACACUGAAGAAAAGCUUCUUGCAAGGAAAAAUAAGCUAAGGGUCAAUCACUCUGCAAAGGUUCUGUUUUCCUGUGGUUAUGAAGAAAUUCCAGGAGUCUGAGGCAACAUGAAUUACCUCUGGGGAAGUCAAGACAGAGGAAGGAAUUCCCUUGAAGUUGUGGUUUUGAUGCUGCUUGUUUAGAGGACUAUUCGUGGGCUGAGAACAGGCUGUACAGAUUUCUGAGUUGGGAACCAUGCAAAAUUACAUGGCCCUGGACCGUGGAUGUAGUAACAAUAUCCCUUGGGAGUCUUUCAUCUCUAUACUCAUGGAAGUAUUGGGGCCUACUACGUUCAGCACUACUAACAGGUAAUAAAAUACAGCAUGAACGCACCUAUAAGAGUCUCACGGGUUGAGCUUCUGAUGUUAGAAAUACUAGUUGGAACGAAGACAGGCUCUUCCUUGGGUGUUCAUGUGAUAUGGUAAAGGGGCCCAGGCAUAGAUGGCGGUGGCGGGCACAUGUUACUCUUUAACAUCUGCAAAUGGAGCUUUUCCCAUGCUGCCCGUCCUUCUUAAUUGCAUCAUAUUUUUGAUUAACUCCACCAUCAAUGAGACUUUUUUUUCACUAAUGUCAUGGAGAAAUCACACAAGAAGAUGCUCUUUCUUAAAUGUUAUGUGUGUUUGUAAGAUGUGGCAUUGGGCUGUAGGGAAACGCAGAAGCGCAAGACGGCGGUACUUUGGUUCAGGCCAUGGGGUGAAGGUGACCUGGGAGGCAGCGGGAUCUGUGUCAACACGACCCGAGUGCAGGUGCGUCUCCAGGUACCCGAUGUAAAUAACUUCUGUAGCCAAGGUCACUACUGGCACGUGGCUAGCUUUGGGCAUUUUGGUAUAAAUGCAGAAUAAGCGGACAGGGACAGCUGCCCGGAGGGGAGACCAAGCAGCCCACACCCCGGAAAGUGUACAGUGCUGGGGCUGCAAGAGCUGAUAAGCAGAUGGACGGCAGCUGAGCCGCGGAAGGAGGACGCUGCAUCGAGUCCCCAGUUCUGUGUCUCUUCAUGGGGUGGUCUGAAUCUCAAGUCAACCUCCCCAGUGUGAACUGGUGACAAGACCACAGGCUAGAAACUUCUCAAAAUAUUCAGCAUCAAAAUCUCUACGAAGGAAGCUAAUUUCAAAUUGGUUUUACUGAAAGUAACAUCUUUUAUUUCAAUCAAGGAAAUUUACCCAAAUCUCUCCUAUUGAUUAUCCUCGGAUCCCAUUCACUUACUCAAAAGAGUUCUUUUCUCUAUGAUUUUGAAAAUCCAUGUUUAGAAUUUUUACAAUACAAAAAUGAUUCCCCUGCAAUUAGGCAGCCUU